RNAcentral lists this unclassified non-coding RNA (347 nucleotides) under soil metagenome. RNAcentral describes it as "partial contains 5.8S ribosomal RNA, internal transcribed spacer 2, and large subunit ribosomal RNA". The stretch from base 1 to 120 matches the Rfam family "5.8S ribosomal RNA", at positions 35 to 154 of the family's 154-position model. The record is from RNAcentral.
GAUGAAGAACGUAGCGAAAUGCGAUAAGUAAUGUGAAUUGCAGAAUUCAGUGAAUCAUCGAGUCUUUGAACGCACAUUGCGCCCCCUGGUAUUCCGGGGGGCAUGCCUGUCCGAGCGUCAUUGCUGCCCUCAAGCACGGCUUGUGUGAUGGGCCGUCGUCCCCCUCCUAGGGGACGGGCCCGAAAGGCAGCGGCGGCACCGCGUCCGGUCCUCGAGCGUAUGGGGCUUCGUCACCCGCUCCGUAGGCCCGGCCGGCGCUUGCCGACGACCAUCAAUCUCUUUCUCCAGGUUGACCUCGGAUCAGGUAGGGAUACCCGCUGAACUUAAGCAUAUCAAUAAGCGGAGGA